Molecule: ribosomal RNA, 515 nt
Filed under: Phoma sp. 70 YY-2011
Lineage: Eukaryota; Fungi; Ascomycota; Dothideomycetes; Pleosporales; Didymellaceae
Description: eukaryotic LSU rRNA
Rfam family: 5.8S ribosomal RNA (bases 143-296)
Source: RNAcentral
AUGGUUAGAGUGUAGGCUUUGCCUGCUAUCUCUUACCCAUGUCUUUUAAGUACCUUACGUUUCCUCGGCGGGUCCGCCCGCCGAUUGGACAAUUUAAACCAUUUGCAGUUGCAAUCAGCGUCUGAAAAAACUUAAUAGUUACAACUUUCAACAACGGAUCUCUUGGUUCUGGCAUCGAUGAAGAACGCAGCGAAAUGCGAUAAGUAGUGUGAAUUGCAGAAUUCAGUGAAUCAUCGAAUCUUUGAACGCACAUUGCGCCCCUUGGUAUUCCAUGGGGCAUGCCUGUUCGAGCGUCAUUUGUACCUUCAAGCUCUGCUUGGUGUUGGGUGUUUGUCUCGCCUCUGCGUGUAGACUCGCCUCAAAACAAUUGGCAGCCGGCGUAUUGAUUUCGGAGCGCAGUACAUCUCGCGCUUUGCACUCAUAACGACGACGUCCAAAAGUACAUUUUUACACUCUUGACCUCGGAUCAGGUAGGGAUACCCGCUGAACUUAAGCAUAUCAAUAGGCCGGAGGAA